This is a long non-coding RNA of Corythoichthys intestinalis (scribbled pipefish), 8689 nucleotides long. RefSeq lists it as uncharacterized. The record is from RefSeq and is a predicted model, not a curated record. The transcript is spliced from 8 exons. NCBI's taxonomy places the organism in Eukaryota, Metazoa, Chordata, Actinopteri, Syngnathiformes, Syngnathidae.
ACAAUUCGUUCAAAAAGAACGAAUCGUUCGCGACCGAUACAACACUAGUGUAGCGUGUUUGAGGCCUUUAAAGUUUUAAGACGGUACACACUUUCCCUGCGCCAUACGUCGUUGGGAACCCUCGACAGAACAAAUUCUUUUUGCCACACACGUUCACACAAAGAAAUAAAUGAGAGGAAGGAGUUUGGGCCUACAUUUUUCUUUGUCGGUUUAGCUGGCUGCCGAAGUCGAGGAGCCGUUCACGCAGUCGAUGUGAUUUAACGAUGACGUCAUCUCGCAGAGCAACGUGUCGCCAUUUUGAGAGUGGGGACACGCACAGACGCAAGGAGGCGAAACAACUUAAAAUUAGCGUGUAUUGGCCUGCAAAUCUGCCCAUACAAAGUCGCAGCUGAUAGCUGGAUAAACAAUCCAAAGGAAUUGCUUGCAGUGAAGUUCGGAAACAUCUACAACUACCUCAUAAAGUCACCAAAUUAUGGAAGACCCGGUGCUUUGUCGGGGAGCAGCUCCAAAGAUGGCCUAUACAAGUCCAAAGAAAGAAAACGUGUGAAUUUUUUGAGACAAAUGCAGCAACUGCAAGGGGCUGACAGCAGUCUGAGGAAGCGGGGCGCAGCUCCAAAGGUGGGCCAUACAAGUCCAAAGCCAUCAAACGGCGCCGAGAGGAAAGUGAGGACCGCUCCAAAGAUUUCAUGACCUCAUCUUAAGCAACAAUUUCCUAGGAGGGUAAUUAAAAGACUUAUCAUCACAAACGCAAAGUGGUUCAUGAACGCUGCCAUUCAGUGUUUUGAGUAACACACCUGACCUGAGGAACUAUUUGAUCCUAUUAGCCCAAAAAGAGAAUUAGCCCACCAACGUCAGAGAGAACGUUUGGCACCUAGUGAAAGGUAAACAUGUAACCCAUACUCGCCGCUUUCAACCAAUGUGUGCAUGUUUUGGAAGUCUCGCCACGGGGAAGGAAUUGGAGCAUACCUGUAGUGAUAGUAGGAUCAUAGCUAGAUCCAGUGUUGUUCAGUUAUCAUAAGAAAAUUCAACUAAUCUACAAAUGUAGACAAAAUGAACUCAAUACAAAUAGUUUUGUUCCUGUGUUGCGCUAGAUUAGAGAAAUGCGCAAGGAAUAAAUGAAUAAAUAAUAAUAAACUUGUUUAUUGACUUUCACUUUUGCCAUAAGUUACUUUUGCUUUUAACAAAAGGAAUGGUCUGUCAAUCAAAUAGCAUUGGGAGGGACUGAAACUAAACUUUAAAUAGAUUAAAUGCAUUUAAACAACAAAUUUGUUUACAAAUCAUAAGGUAUCGACAAAUAAAGAAUUGCCCAAAUAAAGUUUGAGACAAAACUAAUAAUUUGAUAAUUCCCUGGUAUCGACGUAUUGCCAUCAAGCGCAGAAUACCUCUCUGGCUUAUUGACAUGAGUCGCCGUGCAUUUUGUGCGAUGUAGAAUAAUGGUGCCACCAGGGGGUGGCCAGGCCUGACCACGGCUCCCCCCGAUGAAUUUGUUGGCCAUUUGUAGUAGCUGCGGAACUCAAAAUGUUGACUGGACUUUUAUGGACUAGGGAUGUCCCGAUCCAGGUUUUUGCACUUCCGAUCCGAUACCGGCCUAUCUGAGCAUGUAUUAAAGUUUAAAGUUAUUUAGCUUCCUUACUUAGUUGUCAGACUUAUUUUGAAAAGGGUUUUAGUACUCUUGAUAACAACUAGCCAGCUGAAUUAGAUGAGUUUGAAUAACACACAACGGUUGGUAACAAAAACUGACCUGUUUAUUCAGUGACAAACACAAAACAUUAUAAAUAACAAACAAAAAUGGCAUAGUCAGUCAGUGAAACGUCCAAAUAACAUUGUUAACUGUCUUAAAAAAAUAAAACACACAAACAACCUCAGUGGAAAAUCCCACAAACCCCCCAAGCUAUUAGAUGCUUUUAAUGUUUUGUGCAUUAGUUACAAAUAUUGUAUAAAAAGCCUCUCAGGUUUAAAUAAACGACUAUUUAAGUAUCAAGUUAACAUUUUAAAACUGUAAAUAAAAUACUCAAGUCCCCAUUCUGUAUCAGCAGCUUUAAACUACAUUCAAUUCAUUUAAUUUUGUGAAUCAACUGUUAAAGUUGUUCCCGUUAUUCCAUAAUUUCCCUUCUGUCUACUUUCGACAUAUGAAAGUUUUAAAACUGUUUUGAAGAUCGAUUCAAGUCAAGAUUUUGCCGAUUUAGGAGUAUUUUAGAUAAAAAGUUAAUUAGGUUCGCUUGGAAGGUUCACAACAGCCUACUAGGGAAGUCUUCUGCUUUAAGAUGGCGGCUGUUUACUAACGCAUCUAGUUUUCAAUACUUCAAUGUUGCUAACGCAGUCGAGUCUGUCGUUUUGCAUCUAGUUCUAUAUACAUAUGAUAUCUAUUAUCUCCAGUAAAACGUUGACGUAGUUUGUAGCGGCUGUCAGCAGCUGUCAUGUAUUCUUGUGUUUUUUAUCCAGCGGCAUGAGUUGAGCUAAAGCCGUGAGUUGAGCAUUGGCAUUACCCGGGUCUAUGACAAGCAUUAUGUUGACUUUCGGAACGCAAUGCGGUCCGUUUCUCAUUGCGUCCUGAAGACCGCGCUGUGUAUUAGUUCCGCUUUACUUGACAUAUUUCAAUAAUCGGAAUUUAGAUGUUUGUGAAUCGUUCUCUAAUCCUCCACGGCCAAAUCGCUCAAGGAUGUAAUGACGGCUGGGCAUGUUGUACAGUGGUUCUAAGUGUUGGAUGGUGCGUCUUUACUCACGAGAGAUAAUGGCUCGUCAUCCAGAAUGAAUUCUUCGGCAAUGACUCUUGUUAUUCCCUGGGCUUUGGGACUGUCGAGUGCCAGUUUGUCACGCAUAGCAAAAGUUUCUGCCAGUGUUAGUUGUGUAGGACCUGAAAUUAUGGCUUUUAUUUUUUGGUGUGCCACCUCAAGGUUUUAAGUGGCCCCAUUUAGCCACCCCUAUGAAGAAUUUCUGGAGGCGCCACUGAUUUGGAAUUGGCAGUAUAGCGCUACUCCAAAACCUUGUGGUUGUUUCCCGAUUUUCUUGCCUGUGAGUGAACGAGGGCAGGUGUUUUCCAUUUACGUCUUUCGCUCCCCCUCGGCCCACUUUCCCUCCGCCCUCCAAGUGGCCUUCGUGUGACGUCAUAGCAAGUGCUUAGGGCAAGUGAGCAAGGGGAAAUCAAACCGUGAUUGGAAAGCAGCCAGAGAGAGACGCUAGGAAGAACUACGUAGAAUGAAUAAUAUCAGUGGAAAUGUAUUACGUUACACAAGCUCCUUUUUCGGCUUGUUGUUAAUACUUUUGUAUGCAAAUCUGACGUUAGUUUAUUUUAUUCUAUUUUUUUUUUAAACACGGGGUUUUGACAGUUGCAGUCAUAUUUUCGGGAUCAAAGCACCAUAUGCUGGAACAGCAAUCCGCCUCAAAAUUUCAUGCCGGUACGCCGUUCAUCCCUGCUAAUUACUCUUGCAUUGAGGUAACAGAGUCAAUUACUUUUUGGGAGAAGUAAUUUGUAUCUAACAAAUUACUUCUUUUAAAGUAAGAUUAACAACACUGAUUGUAAUAGUUCAACACCCGUUUAUUAUAACAUACCAUAUAACAAACCAUUACCGCUUCUUGUAAAAAAGAACUUCAAUGGUUCCGUUAUUUUUGGCUGCCUGAGUGCAGUGAUGGGAAGACACCACGUCGGCGUUCACGGACUCCACCCUAGGUACACGGAAGGAAGGAAACUGAAAUUGGCCUCUUUUUAUGGCAACUAACUAGUUGGCGGUAAACGGCAAAAUCAUGGAGAUUUUCCAUGUUUCUAAAAAUAACAGACCAGGAAUCAUCAAAUUUAGUCCAGCUGCUGUCGAGUUGGUUUUGGCAAAAUGCGAUGUAGUGGUUUGCCUCCUCUUUUUUGUUUUUCACAAUACGAAUGUAAAUCCAAUGCUCUAUUGUUGCAUACAGAUCAUAUACGACGUCACCUAAAAAGGGUCAACAAUUAGUAGCGACAAUGAGGAGCUGAACAUUUAUCCUGAGACCGGGAAACGCACCUUCCACGGUCGGCAGUGUGAGGCCUGUUCGGGGAAAAGUGAGAGUACCGGAAAGUUUUCUGGAUACGGGCGCAUACCAGUGGGUCCAAUUAAUAUGGAUGACCAUAAUGUCCGGGGCCCGGUUUAAGCAGCCCAUCUGUUUGUCGGACAGCUCUGCGGUGUACUGCCUCCCCAAGCUUUUGAUGGGCUGUUCUACGAGAAGUGGAAUCUUCUCCCCCCCCCAACAACAAAGGUGCUGCUGUCAUUCCUGACCGCUCUCCUGAUUGACAGGUUGCGAGACUUGGAGGGCUUGAUCUUCAUUCUUGCCCAUGACAUCAGUUCAUCAAUCCUUCUCAGCAGUCUUGAUGUGCAUGCUGCUGUCUGGAGGAGGGUGGUGACAUCGUCCAUAUAGCUCCUUAGUGGGGGAAGCCUUUGACCAGUUGGCAGUUUGAUCCCUCCUACCAUUUGCCUUGCACCGAUGAGGAUUAUUUCAAACGCUGUAACAAACAGUAUUGGUGAAAUGGCACAGCCCAUCGCAAUUCCAACUUCAAGCCGCUGCCACCCCGUGAUGAAGUCUUCUACGGAGAAACACAUCUGCAGGUUGCCGAAGUACUGUGCUACCAUGUUAUUGACGCAGGUGGGCAUGUGGAAGAAGUCCAUGGCAUAAUUGAUCAGCUGGUGCGGGACUGACAAGUACGCAUUGGCCAGGUCAAGCCAUACGACGUGCAGGUCAGUCUUCUCCUGUUUAGCCUUCUGGAUCUGGUCCCAGAUCAUUGUGGAGUGUUCCACGCAUCCGGGGAAUCCUGGCACUCCUGCCUUUUGGCAGUCGGUAUCGAUGUAACCAUUCUCGAGCAGGUAGUUGGCCAUCCUUCUUGCUAGUACUGAGAAGAUCUUCCCUUCUACGUUGAGAAGGGCGAUGCUACGGAACUGGCCGAUGACUUUGGAGUUUGCUUCUUUGUGAAUGAAAACUGCUACAGCUCUUUGCCACUCGGUUGGAAUGGGUUGCUUUUUCCAAGCAGUUCUCAUUAGGUACCAUAGCAGCUCUAGCACCUUGGGACAUUUCUUAUAGAGCUUGUAGGGAACUCCAUUAGGGCCUGGUGCAGAAGAGGAUCUUGCCUUCUCCACAACUUGCCGGACCUUGCUGAGCUUUGGAGGCUUGAUGUCGAACUCAGCUGUCGGCUGUGCGGGCUGGGGUACGUAUACUGGAGUUCCUAAGGGGACACUCCUUCGAGAAUCGCUAUACUGGUCUCUAACAUGCUGUUCCAACUGCUCCCUGGUGGUUUCGAGCUUGCCACUCUUCUUUUCCUCCAGCAGCUGUCUGGCAUGCUUAAAGGGAUCCUUGAAGAAGCUACUUCGCUCCUUCUGCUUCCGCCUGUUGCGUUUCCGAAUGCGUUCCGCUCUACGAAGUAAAUCCAAUGCUCAAUUGUUGCGUAUAGAUCAUAUACGACGUCACCUAAAAAGGGUCAACAAUUAGUAGCAACAACGAGUAGCUGAAGCUUUAUCCUGAGACCGGGAAACGCACCUCCCACGGUCGGCAGUGUGAGGCUUGUGUGGGGAAAAGUGAGAGCACCGGAAAGUUUUCUGGAUUUGGACACAUACCGGUGGGUCCAAUUAAGAUGGAUGACCAUAAUGUCCGGGGCCCGGCUUAAGCAGGUGUCUGUGUCUUUGGGUGCAGAGCAGCUGCUGCAUAUCUGCAAGUCCAAAAAAAACCACCAAGUGGUUACAUAGAUGGGCGUAACACGCGUAACGAGGCGUCGAUGUCUUACCUGACCAUCCGGCUGUAACAAUUAUCUGAGCAUUUUGUUCAGGUUCAGCCUCAGCUUUGUUGUAUAAUCCUGUGAAAGGAACGUUCGUUAUCCAACUUGGCUGCGGGCUUAUUUUUGUUUGGUGCAUGCGUCUGACCUGCACAAAAGGAACAGUAAGCUGGAUGUACCACUCGCGCCUCUCGGAGGUCUUUGGAGAGUCCGAGCAUGGACAGGAAUUGGUUUCCCUCCAGUCGGUGGUAAAAAUUUCUGCGGCCAACAAAUUAUUUGUAUGUUAUUUUUCGUGUAAUGAUUCGCACCUAGAAUGCUUAUUGAGUGCUUACACACCUCUCACGAUGGCGUUUUCCAACUGGCUGGCGUUCACUUUAUGGCUACAAAGAGAAUUUUUCAAAUUCAACUUGGGUACAUUUGGGAGACACGUCCUAUUGAUAGAAGGUCAUCUUCUGUUAAUUUCGGGGACAUGUCCUGGUGAUAUCAGGUCAAUGCAAUGUAAAUGCCCUUGAAAAUGAAUGGUACGUACAUGGCCAUCAAUGGAAUCAUAUUCGUCAAUGGAAUCCAUCUACAAUGGCAUCAAUUGAAUCGACCUACAGUUCAUCACAAAAGUGAGAACACCCCUCGCAUUUCUGCAGAUACGUAUAAGCAAAACCUCAAUUUGAACUAUUCAAGAACAUAGGAUGUACUUUGAAAUUGAAGAUUAUAUUAACAUUGACUUCUUGUUUUUUUUUUUUAAAUACGAGUAACAUACGUUAACAAAAACUAAAUGCAAAUGACAUACCUUGUGCACAGUGAAAUGGAAUAUAUUUUGAAGAAAACAUUGACUUUUUUUUUUUUUUUUUUUUUAAAUGAUAAAGAAAUAAGUCAAAAGUUCACAUUAACAUGGAAGGUUAAAAUAAAAUCAAUUCUUUCCUUUCUCUUGAACUGAUCCAUUUCCCGUUGCAUUUCCCCAUUAAUUUAACAAGCAUGUUCUUUCCCCCCUUCUACAGUGGUACCUCUACAUACGAAUUUAAUUCGUUCCAGGACCUUGUUUGUAAGUCGAAAUGGUCGUAUGUCGAGCAGGAUUUUCCCAUAGGAAUACAUUAUAAUUCCAUUAAUUCGUUCCAAAGCCUAAAAACAUACACUAAAUUCUUAAUAAAUACUGCUGGCACUGUUACAAAUGGCAAUUAAACAUAGAAAAACAAAUAAGUUAUAAAUGAAUAAUAUAAGAAGAAGAAGAAGAAUUAAUAAUUAUUCCUGAAAAUAAUGUAACGAAUCGGAUUCUAAUAUGGCGGACACUUUUUACUGUCCCUGAACGCACCGCGAAGGUGCGCACCGACCUAUCUCCAGUGAGAUAAUACUUUCGUUUUCCUGAGAGCAGUCAACUGCUUAAGACAAUGAGCAUUUUGUGUUGGAUAAGUUCUUAAAUAAAUGAUAAAAACGUGACAAAGCUGGCGAUUUCCUUGGCAAUGUUACCACAAUAAUAAUUGUCACCUUAACUUAUAAAUAGUGGCGAACAGUGGUCAUAAGAGGAUCAUGGAGCUGUAUUGUUGAGCCAGUUCAGGGACGCGCACCCCAAGCUCAUAUUUUUCUAUAACUUGCAUCUUCAUUUCAAAGGUAAGCAUCACUUUUUUCCUUGUUUCUCCAACUGUAUCAACUUUUUUUGAAAACUGUGUUGAUUUCUCACAUAAGAAAAUCCACCGUGGGUUCGUUUGCAGUGCUGUCAUGUCGUCGUAUUUCGAGCAACUCGUCGGAUGUAGAAACAAAUGGCGGCUCAAAUUUUACGUCGGAUGUCGAAAAGAUCGUGUGUCGAAGUGAUCGUAUGUAGAGGUACCACUGUAUUUGUUUAUCCAAAAGAACAGAGAGUAGUCUGGCUGAAAACCGCACCUCUCAGGCCACUCUUCCACUCGUCUUAGUCCCCUGUUUUGCAGUCUAAUCUCUUUGGGAAAGAAACCGUGCAUUUGAACCAAUCAGAGCUAGCUAUCCUUGCUGAUCACAUGUCAGCCGAUUGAACAGACAGCAGAGUCCUGGUUGUUUUUUUUUUUUUGCUGCCUGCAUGUGCUCAGCGACGCAACUUGUCAGAUACAGAGAGAGGCGCUGGGAAGAACUACGUAGUAUGAAUAAUAUCAGUGGAAAUGGAUUACGUUUAGAGCUGAAACGAAUACUCGAGCAACUCGAGUAACUCGAGUUUAAAAACUGAUCCGAGUAAUUUUAUUCACCUCGAGUAAUCGUUUAUUUUGACAGCUCUAAGCAUCACGUUUUGCUCGGACUACUUUUAAUGCGGGACAACGCGCUGAUGUCACGUGCGUAGAGGAAGAAGCAAAAAAAAAAAACUUACUGCAGCCGACAACCGCUACAAACGACGCCGACGUUGCUAAAUACUAGCCCGCUCAUGCUACGUUAGUUGCAGGUGGCGUCCAGUGAGUCUCAUAGAGAUCACAUGUAUGUUGAACUAGAUGCGCAAUGACAGACUAGGCCGCGUCUGGGCAGCGUUAGCAAACAGCCGCCAUCUUAAAGCAGUAGAGCGCUAAGCGCUAAUAAAGAGCGCUAAACGCUAAUAUACUGUAUAAGAUUAACGUUACUCACCUUACGUUAGCACUGCGGAGGGCUAGGUUUCAAUUAAUUAAGACCGCUUUCGAUGCGUGGCUAACGUGUCUUACAUACAGGCUAUAACAUAACAUAGCGUUGUGGAGUGAUGAGCAUGUCAAAUAAAAACUCAACAAUGCUAACUAUCAAUUUUAGCUCAGUAAUCAUUGCUGGAUAAAACACCAAGUAGCACUAGUCCCUGAUGUGCUCCAAUACAGCCUGUAUCAUACAUUUAUUCUGAACAGUGCAAAAACUUAAAUCCUAUCAGGACUUACAGUUUAGACUAACUUAAAACUUAACUAGAACUUAAAAAUGGCUUGACACAAAUAGAAAUUUAAUUGAAAAACGUAGGAAAAAAUCCUAACUUUUAAGUGAUGUGUGUUAUCAAGCGUAAAGGCA